RNAcentral lists this ribosomal RNA (700 nucleotides) under Bacillus sp. (in: firmicutes). Its description in RNAcentral is "bacterial SSU rRNA". It matches the Rfam family "Bacterial small subunit ribosomal RNA", at positions 102 to 788 of the family's 1533-position model. The record is from RNAcentral. Lineage: Bacteria; Bacillati; Bacillota; Bacilli; Caryophanales; Bacillaceae.
ACGGGUGAGUAACACGUGGGCAACCUGCCUGUAAGACUGGGAUAACUUCGGGAAACCGAAGCUAAUACCGGAUAGGAUCUUCUCCUUCAUGGGAGAUGAUUGAAAGAUGGUUUCGGCUAUCACUUACAGAUGGGCCCGCGGUGCAUUAGCUAGUUGGUGAGGUAACGGCUCACCAAGGCAACGAUGCAUAGCCGACCUGAGAGGGUGAUCGGCCACACUGGGACUGAGACACGGCCCAGACUCCUACGGGAGGCAGCAGUAGGGAAUCUUCCGCAAUGGACGAAAGUCUGACGGAGCAACGCCGCGUGAGUGAUGAAGGCUUUCGGGUCGUAAAACUCUGUUGUUAGGGAAGAACAAGUACAAGAGUAACUGCUUGUACCUUGACGGUACCUAACCAGAAAGCCACGGCUAACUACGUGCCAGCAGCCGCGGUAAUACGUAGGUGGCAAGCGUUAUCCGGAAUUAUUGGGCGUAAAGCGCGCGCAGGCGGUUUCUUAAGUCUGAUGUGAAAGCCCACGGCUCAACCGUGGAGGGUCAUUGGAAACUGGGGAACUUGAGUGCAGAAGAGAAAAGCGGAAUUCCACGUGUAGCGGUGAAAUGCGUAGAGAUGUGGAGGAACACCAGUGGCGAAGGCGGCUUUUUGGUCUGUAACUGACGCUGAGGCGCGAAAGCGUGGGGAGCAAACAGGAUUAGAUACCCU